GAUGAACGCUGGCGGCGUGCCUAAUACAUGCAAGUCGAGCGAACAGACGAGGAGCUUGCUCCUCUGACGUUAGCGGCGGACGGGUGAGUAACACGUGGAUAACCUACCUAUAAGACUGGGAUAACUUCGGGAAACCGGAGCUAAUACCGGAUAAUAUAUUGAACCGCAUGGUUCAAUAGUGAAAGACGGUUUUGCUGUCACUUAUAGAUGGAUCCGCGCCGCAUUAGCUAGUUGGUAAGGUAACGGCUUACCACGGCAACGAUGCGUAGCCGACCUGAGAGGGUGAUCGGCCACACUGGAACGGAGACACGGUCCAGACGCCUACGGGAGGCAGCAGUAGGGAAUCUUCCGCAAUGGGCGAAAGCCUGACGGAGCAACGCCGCGUGAGUGAUGAAGGUCUUCGGAUCGUAAAACUCUGUUAUUAGGGAAGAACAAAUGUGUAAGUAACUAUGCACGUCUUGACGGUACCUAAUCAGAAAGCCACGGCUAACUACGUG
This 497-nucleotide ribosomal RNA is filed under the name uncultured bacterium. RNAcentral describes it as "partial 16S ribosomal RNA". It matches the Rfam family "Bacterial small subunit ribosomal RNA", at positions 28 to 507 of the family's 1533-position model. The record is from RNAcentral.